Molecule: non-coding RNA, 83 nt
Organism: Hibiscus syriacus
Lineage: Eukaryota; Viridiplantae; Streptophyta; Magnoliopsida; Malvales; Malvaceae
Source: the annotation of a RefSeq genome assembly
GUCGAUAUGUCGGAGUGGUUAAGGAGUCAGACUCGAAAUCUGAUGGGCUAUGCCUGCUACAGGUUCAAAUCCUGCUGUCGACG